RNAcentral lists this long non-coding RNA (2552 nucleotides) under Lynx pardinus (Iberian lynx). The record is from RNAcentral. Lineage: Eukaryota; Metazoa; Chordata; Mammalia; Carnivora; Felidae.
GGGGCCUGCUGUCCCCUCCCCACCCGCAGGCGGAGCCCCAGCUGCUCUAAGCCCUCCUUUUCCCCUCGUGCAUAGGUGUCACCAAGAGUGACCUACACGCGGAUGAGCCCAUGGCCGGUAAGUACAAGCAGGGAGCCAUCCUUGGUGUCUGCCCCCGGAACAGCGAGCUCCUUGCAGGCUUCCUCCGCUUUUUCUGCUCACCAGCUCCAUUCUUCACCAGUUCCCUCAGUGUUCGUAGGCCCGGGACAGUGAGCCACAAGCCUCUGUCGUCUGCAGUGCUGUGUCAGGAAUGCUGUCCAGUAGCUGUCUGCCCGUGGGCAGGAGGCUGCAGGGGGAACUCUGGCCCUAGUGGCAAAAAAACAACCCAUGCCCCAACUCUGCUGUGUGACUGUGGAGAGUCUCCUGACUUCUCUGAGCCCCAGUUUUCUUAAGAGGGGCUGUUAAUAAUGUCCCACCUCCCCAGGACUAAAUGAAAUGUGUGUGAUAGCACUUUGAGAAGUAGGAAGCUGUAUGAGGUAAAGAGUGUGCCUCAGUUACUGGGCACCAGACCGUGGCUUCACCUUGCAUGGCUGCCUCUCUGUUUUCGAGGCCAGUGGUCAGAUACCUUCCCUGUCCCUUUGGUUUUCCUUUUGAAAUAUCUAACUUUAAAAAAAAAAAUUUUUUUUUAAUGUUUUUAAUUUUGAGACAGAGCAUGAGCAGGGGAGAGGCAGAGAGAGAGGGAGACACAGAAUCUGAAGCAGGCUCCAGGCUCUGAGCUGUCAGCACAGAGCCCGACGCGGGGCUAGAACUCAUGGACUGUGAGAUCGUGACCUGAGCUGAAGUCGGAGGCUUAACUGACUGAGCCACCCAGGCGCCCCUAACUUUUUUUUUAAAACCUUGUAAUAGCUUCUGGCCAAGAAACCUCAUGCCACCCACCUGAUUCCUUCCCUCAAACAGCCCUCUCAUUAAGUCAUUCCACUGUUUGGAAACCUUCAAUAUCUUAUUUCUCGUCUUAUCAUGGUCAUACCCAACCGACCCCUCGCUCCCACCCCCAGCUUUUCAGGCCUUGUCUGACCUCCCCAAAUCUUUGGUUCUUCUCCAGUCAUCUUGGUCUAUCCACCACACGUGUGAGUGUCAGGCUUAUUCCCACUGCUGUACCUUUAAUGCCACUUAGUCUCCACACCUGGCCUAUCCUGACUAGAAGCUGGAGUGGGCAGCUCCCUGCCCUCCUGCCAUCCAUCCCAUCCACCUCCAAAGCCCAGUGCAAGAGUCAGCUCUUUCUUGAGAACUUGCCUGAUCACAUCAGCCCGUAUUCAUCACCUUCUCCAAAUUCAUGUAAUGCUUACAACUUCUCUCUUACAACUUAAUGGCUAAUCACUUUGAGUUCUAUUAGUUCUUUCAUUUGCAUUAGUUCUAUUGCCCUGAGUUUCCUCUACAUUUCCCGCAAGCAGAGUCCAGGUGUUGUCUUUUGGCAUCUCCUGUAACAUCUGGCACAGUGUGGAGCAUUAGGUCAGCACAAUCAAAAAUAAUUAGCAAUUGAUGAAGUGUUUGCAUCAUGGAACCGUGCACCUGCUGCCUGAGUGCCCUGCAUUUGGAUGUUUGGGGAAGAUUGAAUAUAUAGGUAGAUCAGUAGAUAGGAGACCUGUUCUCCAUUUGGGGGAUGCUUACAGUCUAGACUGGGGACCCGUAGAGCCACUGUCACAGGUGCAGAGAGAUACAGCUGAAGAGUGUGUUCUGACAGCGUUAACCAGGCUUGCUGUCAUGGAAGCUGUGAGCUUUGAGGUGUGGCAUUUGAGGGAGAGGAGGGGUGAAAAUGCUCAGAGGCAGAAGGGAAUGCUCACCAGUACCCAGGGCUCUUUGUCCUUUCCUGAGCCCUGAAGGUGGGUCAUCUGGCUGCCUUGGAAAUCCCUUUAAUAAAGCUGGUCUCCAGGACGGGAGAACUUGGGAUUCUCAGAGAGUCAUCUGGCCUGGCUUAAUGUCUCCAUGCCAUUACUCCAGGCUGAGGAUGUCACCUUCCUCUACCACCCCUGUGCCCACCCUUGGCUGAAGCUCCAGCUUGCCCUCCUGGCCCACGUUUGUGUGGCCCAGCCCUCACUGGCCCCGGACUCCAGCCUUACUCAGGAGCGGGUAAGCAGUUGAUGAAAGGUCGUUGUUUCGCACUGGCAGAGGCUGCAGCCCCAUGUGCAGGAAAGGAAAAUUCAGGGACUUCCUCUUGCUGGCUCCCCACCUUCAACUUAGUUCUCCUUUCCUAGCCCUUGGUGCUGGCAGCAUGUGGGGUGGUGCUGGAGAUGGCAUGGAUAGAGCCAGCCUGGGCUGCCCACUGGCUGAAGAGGCGGCGGCGGCGGAGGAGGAGGCUGAGGAAGGAGAAGGCAUGGUUCUGCUCUGACGGUCUUUCUGGGUCUUCUCCCUUGGUGCCAAGACCAGGUAGAGGGAGGCUGUGCCGGAGAGGGUGUCUGCAGGUGAGGGGUGCUGGGCUUGGUUGGUGGUGGGGUCCUUGGGUUAUCUGGGCAGGAAAAGGGUGACUGCUGUCUCUCUCCCCAAAGGCCCCAGCUUUGGCUUUUACCCUGCGGAGC